RNAcentral lists this ribosomal RNA (1462 nucleotides) under uncultured Bordetella sp. RNAcentral describes it as "partial 16S-23S ribosomal RNA intergenic spacer". It matches the Rfam family "Bacterial small subunit ribosomal RNA". Lineage: Bacteria; Pseudomonadati; Pseudomonadota; Betaproteobacteria; Burkholderiales; Alcaligenaceae. The record is from RNAcentral.
GGUUCGAUCCUGGCCUAGAUUGAACGCUGGCGGAUAGCCGUACAUUACGCAGCCGAACGGCGGCACGGACUGUCAUCUGGUGGCGAGUGGCGAACGGGUGAGUAAUGCAUCGAACCAGCUCAGUGUAGCGGAUAACUACGCGAAAGCGAAGUAAUACGCAUACGCCCUUCGGGGGAAAGCGGGGACCUUCUGGCCUCGCACUAUUAGAGCGACCUGGAUAUCGGAUUAGCUAGUUGGUGGGUAACGGCUCACCAAGGCGACGAUCCGUAGCUGGUUUGAGAGGACGACUCCAGCCACACUGUGGGGAUCGAGAUACGCCCAGACUCUACGGGAGGCAGCAGUGGGGAAUUUUCUUGGGAUACGAAAAACCCUUGAUCCAGCCAUCCGCGUGUGCGAUGAAGGCCUUCGGUUGUAAAGCACUUUUGGCAGAAAGAAAACGGCAUCGGAUAACACCGUGCAACUGAUUUGGGUACCCGCAGAAUAAGCACCGGCUAACUGCCGUGCCGCGCUGCGUAAUACGUAGGGUGCAAGCGUUAAUCGAAAUUAUCAUGCAAAGCGUGCGUAUGGUUCGAAGAUGAAAUCCAGAACUUAACUUUGGAACUGCAUUUUUAACUACCGAGCUAGAGUGUGUCAGAGGGAGGUGGAAUUCCGCGUGGUAGCGCAGAAUGUGGUAGACAGGCAGAGAACACUGAUGCAGAAGGCAGCCUCUGGGAUAACACUGACGCUCAUGCAGCACGAAAGUGGGAGCAAACAGGAUUAGAUACCCUGGUAGUCCACGCCCCAAACGAUGUCAACUAGCUUUCGUUGGGGCCUUCGGGCUCGGUAGCGCAGCUUAACGCGUAGUUGACCGCCUGGGGAGUACGGUCGCAAGAUUAAAAACUCAAAGGAAUCUGACGGGGACCCGCACAAGCGGUGGAUGAUGUGGAUUAAUUCGAUGCAACGCGAAAACCUUACCUACCCUGACAUGUCUGAAUCCCGAAGAGAUUUGGGAGUGCUCGCAAGAGAACCGGAACACAGGUGCUGCAUGGCUGUCGUCAGCUCGUGUCGUGAGAUGCGUUGGGUUAAGUCCCGCAACGAGCGCAACCCUGUCAUUAGUUGCUACGAGUAAGACUUAUCGAGACUGCCGGUGACAACCGGAGGAAGGUGGGGAUGACGUCAAGUCCUCAUGGCCCUUGCGGCAGGGCUUCACACGUCAUACAAUGGUCGGGACAGAGGUCGCCGUCCCUGCGAGUGGGAGCAAUCCCAGAAACCUGAUCAGAAGGCCGAUUGCAGUCUGCAACUCGACUGCGAAGUCGACCAUGGCACCGCGUGAUCAGCGCAUGUCGCGGUGAAUACGUUCCGGUCUUGUACACACCGCCUGUCACACCAUGGGAGUGGGUUUUACCAGAAGUAGUUAGCCUAACCGUAAGGAGGGCGAUUACUACGGUAGGAUUCAUGACUGGGGUGAAGUCGCAACAAGUAA